AUACGUAGGGUGCGAGCGUUGUCCGGAAUUACUGGGCGUAAAGAGCUCGUAGGUGGUUUGUCGCGUCGUCUGUGAAAUUCCGGGGCUUAACUCCGGGCGUGCAGGCGAUACGGGCAUAACUUGAGUACUGUAGGGGAGACUGGAAUUCCUGGUGUAGCGGUGAAAUGCGCAGAUAUCAGGAGGAACACCGGUGGCGAAGGCGGGUCUCUGGGCAGUAACUGACGCUGAGGAGCGAAAGCAUGGGUAGCGAACAGGAUUGGAUACCCUGGUAGUCCAUGCCGUAAACGGUGGGCGCUAGGUGUAGGGGUCUUCCACGACUUCUGUGCCGUAGCUAACGCAUUAAGCGCCCCGCCUGGGGAGUACGGCCGCAAGGCUAAAACUCAAAGGAAUUGACGGGG
This 398-nucleotide ribosomal RNA is filed under the name uncultured bacterium. RNAcentral's name for it is "partial 16S ribosomal RNA". It matches the Rfam family "Bacterial small subunit ribosomal RNA", at positions 523 to 918 of the family's 1533-position model. The record is from RNAcentral.